RNAcentral lists this ribosomal RNA (377 nucleotides) under Nostoc sp. AECC1007. RNAcentral's name for it is "bacterial SSU rRNA". It matches the Rfam family "Bacterial small subunit ribosomal RNA", at positions 376 to 770 of the family's 1533-position model. The record is from RNAcentral. Lineage: Bacteria; Bacillati; Cyanobacteriota; Cyanophyceae; Nostocales; Nostocaceae.
CGCAAGCCUGAUCCAGCCAUGCCGCGUGAGUGAUGAAGGCCCUAGGGUUGUAAAGCUCUUUCACCGGUGAAGAUAAUGACGGUAACCGGAGAAGAAGCCCCGGCUAACUUCGUGCCAGCAGCCGCGGUAAUACGAAGGGGGCUAGCGUUGUUCGGAAUUACUGGGCGUAAAGCGCACGUAGGCGGAUCGUUAAGUGAGGGGUGAAAUCCCAGGGCUCAACCCUGGAACUGCCUCUCAUACUGGCGAUCUUGAGUUCGAGAGAGGUGAGUGGAAUUCCGAGUGUAGAGGUGAAAUUCGUAGAUAUUCGGAGGAACACCAGUGGCGAAGGCGGCUCACUGGCUCGAUACUGACGCUGAGGUGCGAAAGCGUGGGGAGCA